UUUUAUGGAGAGUUUGAUCCUGGCUCAGGAUGAACGCUGGCGGCGUGCCUAAUACAUGCAAGUCGAGCGAACGGACGAGAAGCUUGCUUCUCUGAUGUUAGCGGCGG
The sequence is a ribosomal RNA, 107 nucleotides long. It matches the Rfam family "Bacterial small subunit ribosomal RNA", at positions 1 to 101 of the family's 1533-position model.